Molecule: ribosomal RNA, 469 nt
Filed under: Zygonyx torridus
Lineage: Eukaryota; Metazoa; Arthropoda; Insecta; Odonata; Libellulidae
Description: partial 16S ribosomal RNA
Rfam family: Bacterial large subunit ribosomal RNA
Source: RNAcentral
GUNCCUUUUGAAUUUAAUUUAAGGUCUGACCUGCCCAGUGAAUAAUUUUAACGGCCGCGGUAUACUGMCCGUGCAAAGGUAGCAUAAUCAUUAGUCUUUUAAUAGAGGGCUGGAAUGAAAGGUUUGACGAGGAAUYGGCUGUCUCAUUUUAUUUGUUUUAAAAUUUAAUUUUUUAGUCAAAAAGCUAAAAUUUUAUUGGAAGACGAGAAGACCCUAUAGAUCUUUAUAAAUUUUAUUUAAUUAAUAUUAUAUUAAUAUAGUUACAUUAAUUAUUUAUUUUGUUGGGGUGACAAGAAUAUAAAUAUAACUUUUUUAUUUAUUUUUCAUUGAUUUAUGUUUAUUAGAUCCAUUAUUAUUGAUUAUUAGACUAAGUUACCUUAGGSAUAMCARCGUAAUCCUCCUCCAGAGUUCAUAUUUACAGGAAGGKCUUGCGACCUCGAUGUUGGAUUAAGAUUAUMMUUAGGUGUAG